Molecule: long non-coding RNA, 2794 nt
Organism: Cavia porcellus (domestic guinea pig)
Lineage: Eukaryota; Metazoa; Chordata; Mammalia; Rodentia; Caviidae
Exons: 2
Source: RefSeq, a predicted model, not a curated record
GCAAGAGCUUUUUUUUCUUUUUCAGCUAGUGCUUUGCAGAUCUUUUAUAAAAACGCAAACGGCCAGGCCAGACUAGGUGAAACUCAUUAACUGAAGAGGGGGAUAAGUGUCUCCACAUCCAAGAGGGAAGACUGGCGCAGGGGCUGAGAGGGACAAAGCCCCUCAAAGUUUAGCAGAGGCCACAGCAAACCUUGGUUUCAGAAUUGCUAACUGCAGGUGUGACAUUCUCCCGUCUGUCUUGGGAUCUAACUUAUCUUUUCCCAUUGAGGCGCGGAAACCAAAACCCAGGAUCAGAGUUGCAGAGAGGACCAGCAGGACUGCAGGUUCUGCGCUUGUAGAGGCAGAGCGCGGAGUCCGUGAUGCUGGGUGGGUGAGAAACUGCGGGGCAAUGGAAGCCCCGCGAGAGGGCUGGACUAGCGACCUUGCAGCACCACGAUCUAGCAGCGUGGCACCCCGCGGUUCCACCCUGCCCAGACCUUGGCCUCCGCCAGCCUCCAACUCGGAGUGACGGCGGGAACUAGCUCUCUGCCGCGUCUCCGCCCAUGGGGAGGUCAGUUGCUCGCAGCGGGCUGCGCCGGGUUCUAAAGUUUUAAAAAAUCUUGUACUGUGGAGCCCUGAAAAAUGCUCCCUAUUAAAGUACAUGCAGCCACGAAAAGCUGGCCCACUUACUUUGUAGUGAUAAACAUCUCACCUUAAAGUUCCAAGACCAACCGCCUGGAACAACGGGACCUUUUUCUGCAGAUUCAAUGCGGGCCGCGCUGCUGAGCAGAAGCCUCAGCAAGUAGGACUGGCGCGGCAGGACCUGAGGGGCUGAGUACACCCACCUGCUCCACGGAGGAGCUGCUCCAGACCGGGCCUCCACGCCUGGGAAUACUUAAUUUUCAUUAGUUCACGUUUGCAGUAACGAUUACGUUCCCCGCGGGGACUUGAUACAUGUAACAUAACUCUUUAUGUUCCCUCCCCACUGGCAAAAGACCCAUUUCCCUCUGAAAACACUCAGCAGUCAAAAGCCAAAUUAAAGGCACCCUAACUAAGGCUUAAAAUUAAACUCAAACUAAUGGUCUGGGGUAAGAUACAAAGGGUGGUGGGUACCCCCAAAACAGGAAGAUACUCAAGGGCUCCUUGUCAAAUAUUCAGUGCUUUUUUUUACAAGCUAUUCAUUUUAAAUACUGAGAAGAUAAACUCCACCGCAGACAGCAUUAUCACCUGCCAGAGUGGAGGUAACACAGAAUGAUGCUGGCGAUUCCUCAUGGAGACCUCUAUCAGUGAGCAAAGGGUGCUGUGGUGUUAGUCCAUCACUAGCAGUGACCUCGUUAGCUCCAAAAUACUUCAAGGCAGGAGUCAUCUUCCCCACAGAAACAAAGAUUAACAAGUGCAUUUAAGUUGAGUAUUAGCACAAAAAUGUGCUAAAUCAGAAGGUCACAGGUAUCUUACACUUAGGCCAGGUUGGAAAGACUGAGACAAAGCAAGCCUUCACAUGUAGGAUCCAAGUUUGUUUUGGUAAUAAAAUCAAAAUGCAAAUACACAUAAAGGUGCUGUAUGUGAAUUCCAAACACACACUUAAGGAAUAUAGUGUGCUUAAUAGCCAGCAAAAACGAACAAAUCUAUGAACAUUUAAAAAUACUGAAGCGUAUAGAAAAUGUAGCUAUAAAUUAAGUUUUUUUUUUUUUUUUUUUAACUUUUUAUCGGUACCAGGGAUUGAACUCACGACCGCCUGCUUGCAAGGCAGGUGCUUAUGCCGCUGAGCUAAAUCCCCAGCCCCCGAGGAUCAUUUUUUUUUAAGUUUUUUUUUUUUUUUAAAUGUAGCUAUAAAUUAAAAUUUUCAAGUUUUUAAAGAUUUUGGCACAAAUCCUUAAAACAGGAACAUGUCUGUGUGAAAUUUAUAAAAAUGUAAACAACUAACUCUAAGACUUUAGUUUGAUUGUCUUGCUGGCCACAUCCUCUUAAAAGCUCCACUUAGCUGGGCAUAGUGGCACGUCCUGUUAUCCUGGGAGGCUGAGGCAAGAGGACUGUAAAUUGAGCCCUGCAGGGCAAUUUAGCAAGAUCCUGUCUCCAAAAUACUACUACUACUACUACUAGAAUAUAAAGUGCAGGGGAUGAAUGCACCCAGAAUGAAGGCUCUGGGUUUAGGCCCCAGUAUGGGGGUUUAGCAUCUUCUUUAUGAUUUCACUGACUUGCUUGUGACAUCUAAUUUCUGCAAACGCUAAUGUGUUUACUAAAGAUUUUCAAAGCUGCUGGGGUUUAGUUCAGUGGCACAAGCGCCUGCCUGGCAAGCAUGAGGUCAUGAGUUUGAUCCCUGGUAUAGAACAAAAAAAAAAAAAAGAUUUUCAAAGCUGAAAUACUGUCAAAUAACACAGGAUGCUAGAACUUUUAAAGUUUAACUUUAUUUUUUUAUUAAAGCCCAGAAAUUUCUGUAAGACAAGUACAUUAAUGAACUGUUUCCAAAGAACAAUAUAUACUCUAGUUUGCGAGGGUUCCAGCUCAAAGAGCUCAUACCUAAUUCCUGUGCACUAAAAAUCAGCAUGGAUCUUAGAUGAUCUAGAAUAUACUGUGUUUUGAAGUCCACAGCUAGUUUGAUUUUUAACCAUAAUGAAAAACCAGUACUAAUUCCAUCAAAUGUGUUUUACAAGCAAUUAUAAAUUCAGAUCCACUGUGUUAUGCAACACACGUCUUUGGAAAGCAACAUAAAACAGUGAGAUCAGAUCAGUACAAAUAUACACAGUUAAAAGAAAUACACAAAGGACUGUAGUUUUAUUAAAAACUACUACUUGAGAAAGAAAUCUUUCCACAAAUA